GCAUCAGACAAAUCCCAGCUUAAUUCUGCAGAUGUCUGGUCAGUACUCCUCUAACUGUCAAGAUUAUCAAAACUAAGGAAAGUCUGAGAAACUGCCGCAGCCCAGAGGAGCCUCAGGAAACAUGAGGACUAAAGACAUCCUGGGAGCCACAUCAGGAGGAGAUUCAGGGAGCAAACAAAAAUGAGGCAAACAGGAGCUGGUCUAGAAACCUGAAGGAAGGACAUCUCUGCUGGAAGAUUGGCAGCCCAACUCUGUGACCAAAGCAGCUGCAGACAGAUGAAACCCCUGAAAAUUCCUUAAGGGGUCUCUCACAGCAGUGCUACUCAAAGGGGGUCCACAGACAGCCACCCCUUGGAACUUUUGAUUGGACCCUGGCCCAGACCUUCGUGAACCAAAGCUCUCCACGUGAUUCCAUGCGCGGCACAGCGGCGAGACCCUGCCAGCGGCCUCCGGCACUGCUCUCAGGCGGAGGAGGUGUUCAAUGAGCUUUCGCAGAAUUAAAUUGAUUGCUCCCCUUUGAAUGAAGCAAAGCUUCAAGUAGAAGCACUGCCUUCUGCCUUCAAGGACUGAACAAAUGUGACUGAACAAUACGUCUGUGCCCUGAGAACACAGGGGAAAACAUUAAAAAGCAGCUCCUCCCCGCACAUUCUGUCUUCACACACUUGAGAGACUUCAAGGAGCAGAGGCUUUUAUGGUCUGUGACGAGUGAGUUAAAUACUAGCCAAUUCAGACUUCACAAUAGUGCCAACGCUGACUACAGAUGGAAAGUCUUACAGAAGAAAGGAGGCUAAUGGCCAUGGAGAGUGUCGAUUCCUAACCAGGGCUGGAUCAAAAGCCCGACACUCAAGUGAAUGAAGUCCCCAUUCCUUCUAGCUGUCACUGCACCAGAGGGAGUAGUGCCAUGAAGCCAAAACUGCCGAAAAUGAAGUAUUUUCCCCCAAACAUAGUGACUUCUGCAAAAUCUAGACUCUAUAAACAGUUUAAACCAACUGGAGCAAUCAAGAA
Long non-coding RNA from Myotis myotis, 1005 nucleotides. RefSeq lists it as uncharacterized. NCBI's taxonomy places the organism in Eukaryota, Metazoa, Chordata, Mammalia, Chiroptera, Vespertilionidae. The transcript is spliced from 3 exons. The record is from RefSeq and is a predicted model, not a curated record.